Molecule: ribosomal RNA, 422 nt
Filed under: uncultured archaeon
Lineage: Archaea
Description: partial 16S ribosomal RNA
Rfam family: Archaeal small subunit ribosomal RNA
Source: RNAcentral
CUACGGGUUGCUCCAGGCGAGAAAACUUUGCAAUGUGCGAAAGCACGACAAGGUUAAUCCGAGUGUUCUCUGCUAAAGAGAUCUUUUGUCAGUCCUAAAAACACUGAUGAAUAAGGGGUGGGCAAGUUCUGGUGUCAGCCGCCGCGGUAAAACCAGCACCUCAAGUGGUCAGGAGGAUUAUUGGGCCUAAAGCAUCCGUAGCCGGCCGUGUAAGUUUUCGGUUAAAUCUAUGCGCUCAACGUAUAGGCUGCCGGGAAUACUGCACAGCUAGGAAGUGGGAGAGGUAGACGGUACUCGGUAGGAAGGGGUAAAAUCCUUUGAUCUAUUGAUGACCACCUGUGGCGAAGGCGGUCUACUAGAACACGUUCGACGGUGAGGGACGAAAGCUGGGGGAGCAAACCGGAUUAGAUACCCCUGUAGUC